Molecule: long non-coding RNA, 4836 nt
Organism: Gadus macrocephalus (Pacific cod)
Lineage: Eukaryota; Metazoa; Chordata; Actinopteri; Gadiformes; Gadidae
Exons: 7
Source: RefSeq, a predicted model, not a curated record
ACGGAAUACCGUCAUCCACCAGCCGGCGACGGAGAGCGCCCGUUGAACCCCAAUCAGCGAGAUGGGAGACACCUGGCUGGACAGCCAGGAAGACAUUUUAAAAGGAGCAUGAGGACUGGUAUUUGGGAGGAACGGGAGCGAGAGAGAAGGAAGCGCUCGGGUCUGCGAGCGACUAGAGGCUCACGGAGGGCCCAAGAGACUGUCUAUCAUGGAUAUUUAACUGCAGUUCUGUGAGUAUCCCAACGUAACCAUGAAGAUGAACUGCAAACUGUAAGUCAUUAAUUUCUCAUUACUCUUGGGCACAUUGAUGUAUUUUGGCUUCCUGGUGAGUUAACCUGUUACCUGAAGGUUGUUCUGAGUAAGGAUGUUUUAUUGGUUCAAGGGUUACUUAGGUGUUUGGUUUAUGUUGGUUUUAAUGAUUUGUUAAAAUGGUUACAGGCUCCAGUGAAUUGUAGUAAUGGGUUGGGUUCUGAUAUCUUCAGUCUUCUUUCAUUCUACUCUGCUCUGCAUCUUCAACACAUGAGUGUUGCUUUACUGAUGAGGGUGUGGUCUGAGCGAGCGGAGGUGCAUACUGGGAUACAGAGCUGUCUGAAGUCUACAGGUCUGUAGACACGCCCCCUCAGGGGAAACCGAGUGUUUGAGAAACCGUCGUGACGUCAGUUACAUGGACUGGAAUGUUCUUUAAAAUGGACUCAGGGAUUCAGAAGGAGAAACACCAGGGGGAGAUGAGGGGGCUCUUCAUCUCAACGACUAAAACACAACUUCAGUCUGACAGAGAACCAUGGAACACAUUCAACAGUCUCCUCCAGGCAUCGUGACUCCUCAGGAACAGUUUCAUUUCCAAGAAGGUCUUAUUUGGGGCCAUCCCCAUAUGGAUCCUGCUCCUCAAGAGCCACCCCCCUCCACUGGGUGGUCUUCUGAACAGAUUACCUCCUUCCUGUCCUCAGGCUGACUAAAGCUGCACCGUUUGCAUCUGUGAAGGCCCGUCAUUCAGGAAAACAAUGGACUACAAAGGCAUGACCUCAGAGACGUUGAAUCAACCUGGGACACAUUUUGGAGACGCCAAGCAUAAUCAAUCACCAAUGUGGGACGCCACUGAAGAAUGUUGUACAUAAUUUACGUCUCUGGAGACAUUGGUUGUUCUGUUAUGGGUGCCCUGGCAGGAGAGCUGGGGGGAUGAUGGAAUGUUAUUUGGCAUGAGGUUUUUACCCUGCGUGAUUGUUUGGCCUUUUAUGGCUCAGUGGUGUGUGUUUGGCAUGAGAGGGAUGAUUUUUGAGCAUCGCUAGGGUUCUAUUGUGUGUGUGUGUGUGUGUGUCUCCGACUCACACCUGGCAUGGGGUUCUACGUGCCUGUCCUGGGUUCUAUGUGUGUGUGUGUGUCCGGCUUGCUUUGACAGUGAUAAUGUCCAUGCGGGGGUCUGUGUGAUUGGCCUGGGAUAUUGGAAUGGUCAAAUAAAUCAUACCUGAUGGACGGCCACAUGUCUACUUAAGGGCCUCCAGUAGACAUGAAGAGCCCUGAGCGACGCUCCGGAGUGAUAUCCAACACACUGGGCAGGAAGGAGAGUAUCCAAAUCAAGUGUAAAAGGAUGCAAGCGGCGUGUUCAGAUCAGUGACUUCAAACUAGGACUACACCGAUCAGGAUCAAUGGAGGAUGGACACCUAAAGGCAUUCCACAAGGAGAGUCUGACGUUGGAAAGGGACCGAAAUGGAUAUUCAAGAUGACCUUCAGACCUGUAAUCGGACGGCUCUUCCUACCUGGCUGGAUUGAUGGAGAGCCCUGUGGAUCUUGUCUUGCUCUCAGUUGCACGUCUUCUCAGGCUGAACUGUAUUUGUUUCGGACAGGACUAGCUGAGCGAUUGGUUCCCUCAAAUCAGAACCACUCCGGGAACUCCAGCUAGUGCGCUCUUCAAGCUGAAGUUGCGCUCUUCAAGCUGAAGUUGUGCUCUAACCUCCUCUUGAGGAGGUAAGGAAACCUUCGCUGGGGCUUCAAGGUGUAAAGAGGUGACUGUUUGAAAGUGUUCCAUGGUACUCUGAUGAAGACCGUUGUUGUGUUCCACUGGCUGAGAGGAAGAACCCACACAUCUUCCUCUUGGCCUUUCUCCUCUGAGAAUCCUGGUGCCAUCUUGAAGGAUAUUCCAGCUCAUGUAACUGAUGUCACGACAGAUUCUCAAACACUUGGUUUCUCCUGAGGGGCGUGUCUAUAGAACUGAAGACUUCAGACAGCACUGUAUCCCAGCAUGCAUCUCUGCUCACUCAGACCACACCCCCAUGAGUAGGAUGCAACACUCUAGUGAUGGAGAUGUAGAGUUUUAUAAGUAAUGAGGGAGCAGACAAAGGUGAUUAGAACACAAUGGAAUGUCUGUAAAUCUUUAAACCAUGAAGAUGGUUGGUUAGUUCAAGAAUUGGGCUUCUUUUUAUCAUUGGCAGUCCUUUCACUCAGAAGCCCACUUCUCACUGGAGCUGUACAUGUGUUGGCUGGCUGGCAUGAUUUGCUGUUGGUGAUGAGGCGGUCAGGGUGACAUUGCAGGGCUAUGGUCGGCUCGCUGUGAGAUCAACGUUUAGAUUUGCUCUGUAUGGUUUUUACCCUGAAUAAACUAGAUAAUUGUAAAAUGUAGACACGCUUUUGUAUUGACUGAAUCCAGGAUUUUAUGUUUAAAGUUGUUGUGGGACGAACAUGGUAGUUUGGUUCUUCGUACGGUUUUAAGUGAUAUAACUUGUACACACUGGGUGCGUAAUAAUGUAAAGGUACACUGAAUAGUAUUAAUGACCAACAGCAACAAACAGAUCUCCUCAAGGUAAGUCUGUUGGCUGUGUUUUAAUGAAGACCAUCGCUGGACUUCAGGAUCUUCCUCCGUUCAGCUCAAGGUGAGGCGCUGGUUCUGUUUUUCUUUGGUUGGUUCCGGCUGGAAUGUUCGGAUUCCAGUCGGACGGUUUGUGCUUCCCGCCGUGGAAGUUUCUGAGUGCGGUCAUUUGAUUUAGUCCCAAUGGUUAGCAUAGAACGUUGUAGUCUUGAAAUCCAUAAGAAACCACCUGGCAGUUAGUUGGACGGGAGUCCCCUGAGGGGAAUCAGGCGGAACGUUCUGGAUUGUAUUUGCGUAACCUCAAGCCGUUGCCAACGGAAAAUAUUUUUCAGUCGGUUUCCAUUUGGAAUGGUUGCCCCUAUCUUAAACAACAAGUUUGAUAUUAAAUACAUACUGACACGUACGUCGUACAAUAUGUUGAUAAUUUCCGAUGGUUGCGCCGUACUUUUAACCACGAUGACGGGACUCUCACUGCGUACAAAACGGCGUUCUACUUGCGGGCCCAUUUUUGACAUCAGUGAAGGCUGAAGAUAAUUUCAAGGUGGAAGAUAAUUUGACAUUUCUUCAACGGAACGCAGCACCUGAAUAUGGCUGAGUAUAUUUGAUUUAAUAUCAAUACUGCUUAGUGUUCUUUGUUACUUCAGCUUUUGUACGUUCUAAAUAUCUGCGGUCAUUAAUUGCCACAGAAGAUAAACCCUACCCAAUGGAAUGACGUUAAAUAACGACUUUGGUGCAGAGUUACCAACUGGAUAAUAUCAAAGCUAAAAUAAUGGCCGUCCUUCCCACAUGUUACAGUAGAAGAUACUCGAGAACUGUACAAGGUUAAAAAGGUAACGUGUAGUUUGUCCAAAGGUGUCUUCCUCCUCACCCAGAGCAAGACCUCCACCUCCUCACCCAAAGCCAGAUCUCCACCUCCUGUCAGAAGUCCUCCAGAACAGGUCAGUGCUCUGGUGUGUGAGUAGAGUCUUCUCAGACCAGGAAUCCAUGUCUGGAGGAGCCGAGCUGAUGGAGGAGCCGUGCUGAAGGAGCUGAUGGAGGAGCCGUGCUGAUGGAGGAGCCGUGCUGAAGGAGCUGAUGGAGGAGCCGUGCUGAUGGAGGAGCCGUGCUGAAGGAGCUGAUGGAGGAUCCGUGCUGAAAGCCCUGCCUGGUGGAGGAGCUGCUGGAGGGCCUGCCUGGUGAAGGACGUCUGUCGUGGGACCAGGACUCUGUCUGAGGAGAGCUGCUGGAGGAGCUGAGACGCUGGAGGACGACUAGGAGUCGACCAACAAGGAUUCCUCAACGUGUUUCUGGAGCGGAGGCGAGCUGAUGGAGGAGCCAAUACUCUGGAGGACGACAUCACUCUACCAACCAGGAUCCUCAGACAAAUUGCGUUUGUAACCAGACCAGGAAUCUGGAGGACUGAUGGAGAAGCCGUACAUCUGGAAGGCAAAUCCUGAGGAGAACCAGGACUAUAUCUAUCUGGACAUAGUGGACUAGACACACCUGAGCUGAACCUCACCUGAUACUGUUUGGUCGGGGGUAGACACAGCUGAGCUGAACCGCCCUGAUCCUGACAUCCUGCUGGUCCCGUCUCCUCAGUUCAUCUGAGCCUCGUCCUCCAGAAGACCUGCUGAGCUCAGCAGUCUGAGGCUGAUGGAUCAAUGACCUCCAGUGGGAGUGAUCUUCUUGACCCCACAUGUAACCGUGUGCUUCCACACGCCUUUCCCUCACGUCUGUCACUAACCUCACUACUUCACUACUCUCUACUGCUUCCUCUUUUUUUCCUUCUCUGUGGUUCAAACCUUUACACUGAAGACGCGUCUUCCUGCCCUCAGAGGGUUCAGCGUUAGGGUUGAGAGUCAGGGUUUAGUGUCAGGGACAGAGCUGGUCAGGGAGGUCUGCUUUUACACAAACCUCUUCACUUGCUUUCGGAAUGGUGGUGACAUUUUGAAAAGAUUCAUUUGGGAAAAAGUUUUCCUCUGCUUUCCUUUACAAAAUUGUGUUCAACUUCUGUCAAGUGUUUUUGUUUAUAUAUUAAAAUCCCACAUUGACUUCUA